This 1429-nucleotide ribosomal RNA is filed under the name metagenome. RNAcentral describes it as "bacterial SSU rRNA". It matches the Rfam family "Bacterial small subunit ribosomal RNA". The record is from RNAcentral.
AGAGUUUGAUCCUGGCUCAGGAUGAACGCUAGCGGCAGGCCUAACACAUGCAAGUCGAGGGGUAACAGGAGAGCUUGCUCUCGCUGACGACCGGCGCACGGGUGAGUAACGCGUAUGCAACCUACCUUUAACAGGGGGAUAGCCCGAAGAAAUUCGGAUUAAUACCCCAUAAUACUAUGAAUAAGCAUUUAUUUAUAUUAAAAACUCCGGUGGUUAAAGAUGGGCAUGCGUAACAUUAGUUAGUUGGUGAGGUAACGGCUCACCAAGACUACGAUGUUUAGGGGGCCUGAGAGGGUGGUCCCCCACACUGGUACUGAGACACGGACCAGGCUCCUACGGGAGGCAGCAGUGAGGAAUAUUGCGCAAUGGAGGCAACUCUGACGCAGCCAUGCCGCGUGCAGGAUGACGGCCCUACGGGUUGUAAACUGCUUUUAUACAGGAAGAACUUUCCGCACGUGUGCGGGAUUGACGGUACUGUACGAAUAAGCACCGGCUAACUCCGUGCCAGCAGCCGCGGUAAUACGGAGGGUGCAAGCGUUAUCCGGAUUUAUUGGGUUUAAAGGGUGCGUAGGCGGGAUAAUAAGUCAGUGGUGAAAUACUGCAGCUCAACUGUAGAACUGCCAUUGAUACUGUUAUUCUUGAGUUCGAUUGAGGUAGGCGGAAUGUGUAAUGUAGCGGUGAAAUGCUUAGAUAUUACACAGAACACCGAUUGCGUAGGCAGCUUACUAAGUCGACACUGACGCUGAGGCACGAAAGCGUGGGGAGCGAACAGGAUUAGAUACCCUGGUAGUCCACGCUGUAAACUAUGAUCACUAGCUGUUGACGAUACAUCGAUCAGCGGCAAAGCGAAAGCAUUAAGUGAUCCACCUGGGGAGUACGGUCGCAAGAUUGAAACUCAAAGGAAUUGACGGGGGCCCGCACAAGCGGUGGAACAUGUGGUUAAUUCGAUGAUACGCGAGGAACCUUACCUGGGCUUAAAUGCAGAUUGACGUUUCGGGAAACCGGAAUUCUCUUCGGAGCGAUUUGCAAGGUGCUGCAUGGUUGUCGUCAGCUCGUGCCGUGAGGUGUCGGGUUAAGUCCCAUAACGAGCGCAACCCCUAUUGUUAGUUGCCAGCGGAUAAUGCCGGGGACUCUAACGAAACUGCCGGUGUAAACCGAGAGGAAGGUGGGGAUGACGUCAAAUCAGCACGGCCCUUAUGUCCAGGGCUACACACGUGUUACAAUGGUCGGUACAGAGGGCAGCUACCUGGUGACAGGAUGCUAAUCUCGAAAGCCGGUCUUAGUUCGGAUCGAAGUCUGCAACUCGACUGCAUGAAGUCGGAAUCGCUAGUAAUCGCGAAUCAGCAUGUCGCGGUGAAUACGUUCCCGGGCCUUGUACACACCACCCGUCAAGCCAUGGAAGCUGGGGGUACCUGAAGUCUGUAACCGC